This 468-nucleotide ribosomal RNA is filed under the name uncultured bacterium. RNAcentral's name for it is "partial 16S ribosomal RNA". It matches the Rfam family "Bacterial small subunit ribosomal RNA", at positions 28 to 507 of the family's 1533-position model. The record is from RNAcentral.
GACGAACGCUGGCGGCGUGCUUAACACAUGCAAGUCGAACGGAAAGGCCCUGCUUUUGUGGGGUGCUCGAGUGGCGAACGGGUGAGUAACACGUGAGUAACCUGCCCUUGACUUUGGGAUAACUUCCGGAAACUGGGGCUAAUACCGGAUAGGAGCUCCUGCUGCAUGGUGGGGGUUGGAAAGUUUCGGCGGUUGGGGAUGGACUCGCGGCUUAUCAGCUUGUUGGUGGGGUAGUGGCUUACCAAGGCUUUGACGGGUAGCCGGCCUGAGAGGGUGACCGGCCACAUGGGGACUGAGAUACGGCCCAGACGCCUACGUGAGGCAGCAGUGGGGAAUAUUGCACAAUGGGCGGAAGCCUGAUGCAGCAACGCCGCGUGCGGGAUGACGGCCUUCGGGUUGUAAACCGCUUUCGCCUGUGACGAAGCGUGAGUGACGGUAAUGGGUAAAGAAGCACCGGCUAACUACGUG